Molecule: long non-coding RNA, 150 nt
Organism: Mobula hypostoma (lesser devil ray)
Lineage: Eukaryota; Metazoa; Chordata; Chondrichthyes; Myliobatiformes; Myliobatidae
Exons: 3
Source: RefSeq, a predicted model, not a curated record
GAGACAUUGAAAACCUUACUUUCAAUAAAUGUGGACAAGUUAAAAUGGACUAUAAUUACACCAAAUAUUAGAGAAAAUGGAAACAAAAAAUUUAGCAUUUUUCUGCCAGAUAAAGGUUAUUAUGAAUGUGCUGUAACCAAGCUGAGAUGG